AGCAUUUCUCCAGUUUGUCAAGACCAUUUUGAAUUCUGAUCCUGCCCUCAAAAGCACUGCUACCCUUCCACCUUGGAAUCAUCCACAAACUUUGUUCACUGCAAAAAUUCCAGCUGUCUGUAGCAUUCAUUAUCCCCAUUUUACAAAGUGAGAAACUGAGCCUCAGAGAGGAGAGCUGGCUUGAUUCAAAUUGUAUUGCAGCAGCAGCAUUCAGGGGGCUUCAGAGCAUGCCUUUCUUGGGGGACGAAGGCGAGGAACGGAUUUGGAGUCCCAAUGGUGGCUCAUUCGCGGGCUCAGCUGGACGAAAAUGCUGCUUCGAAAGAGCUGCUGACUCCUCACUUCUCAAAAAGAGAGAGCUCUUGCUGAGAAAAUCCUUCUGAACACUUGUAGCCUAAAAGCCCAGCGGAAUCUCUGGGCUGAGCGGGUUUUGAGGCAUAUCUGACCUCUGCUCCUCUUCUCUGCCUUCAUCUGCAGAUGGAGAGGGAUCGAUGGCAGCUGUGAGGGGCUUUGUAACUUCCACCCCGACGGGGAGGGCAUGGGAGGGGCAAAGGAACCUGUCAGGGUCCAGUAAGACUCGACUCUCACCUGAACCCUGAGAAACUUUUCCUGGGUUCAGAAACAUUCAGACCAUGUAUUAUUUUUUCCCAAGCCGACGAUGCUCUCUGCACUCUGGGUUCCACAGGUGAGUGGGAAGGCCAGGGUGCCAUGGGGAAUGCCGCCCAUGGGUUAUGCUUGGCCUGGCUUUGCAGAAUUCUAGAAGUAAGAGCUGGACCAUCCAGCCUGUCUCCCAAGGGCCAGUGCGGGAUUGCUCCCUGCUGCACAUUUCCUACAGGCCAGGGAAGGUUUGGAUGGAAAGCAAGACACACCAGAAACCAGGUUUAAAGCCCAGCUUUACAGGUCCAAGAGAUCUCAAUAAGUAAUAGAGCUUUAACGUACUGCUCCAAGCCUCACCCAUCUCCAGGGGGAAGACAUCAACAACAUGCAGGGCUUUGAAUAGCAUUUUCAUUUUCACGCCAGAGCAGACUGCUCCUUCCA
Molecule: long non-coding RNA, 1035 nt
Organism: Dermochelys coriacea (leatherback sea turtle)
Lineage: Eukaryota; Metazoa; Chordata; Testudines; Dermochelyidae
Exons: 3
Source: RefSeq, a predicted model, not a curated record